RNAcentral lists this ribosomal RNA (226 nucleotides) under uncultured bacterium. RNAcentral describes it as "partial 16S ribosomal RNA". It matches the Rfam family "Bacterial small subunit ribosomal RNA", at positions 538 to 763 of the family's 1533-position model. The record is from RNAcentral.
ACGUUGUUCGGAAUCACUGGGCUUAAAGGGCGCGUAGGCGGGCUGUCAAGUCUGGGGUGAAAUCCCGCGGCUCAACCGUGGAACUGCCUCAGAUACUGACGGCCUCGAGGGAGGUAGGGGCAUGCGGAACUGUAGGUGGAGCGGUGAAAUGCGUUGAUAUCUACAGGAACUCCGGUGGCGAAGGCGGCGUGCUGGACCUCUUCUGACGCUGAGGCGCGAAAGCUAG